UUAAAACAUCAGUUCUCAUAUGAUCACCAAAGUUAAGCACUGUCAUACCUGGUCAGUACCACGAUUGGUGACCUCUUGGGAAUACCAGAUGCUGUAAG
Acanthosepion pharaonis is the source of this 98-nucleotide non-coding RNA. The record is from the annotation of a GenBank genome assembly. Lineage: Eukaryota; Metazoa; Mollusca; Cephalopoda; Sepiida; Sepiidae.